RNAcentral lists this ribosomal RNA (253 nucleotides) under uncultured bacterium. RNAcentral describes it as "partial 16S ribosomal RNA". It matches the Rfam family "Bacterial small subunit ribosomal RNA", at positions 524 to 776 of the family's 1533-position model. The record is from RNAcentral.
UACGUAGGCAGCGAGCGUUGUUCGGAGUUACUGGGCGUAAAGCGUGCGUAGGCGGUGUCUUAAGUUUGUUGUGAAAUCUCCCGGCUUAACCGGGAGGGUGCGGCGAAUACUGAGAUGCUGGAGUGCGGGAGAGGUAAGCGGAAUUCCUGGUAUAGCGGUGAAAUGCGUAGAUAUCAGGAGGAACACCUGCGGUGUAGACGGCUUACUGGACCGUAACUGACGCUGAGGCCCGAAAGCGUGGGUAGCAAACAGG